This 3940-nucleotide long non-coding RNA is filed under the name Linum usitatissimum (flax). RNAcentral describes it as "long non-coding RNA (LUSI_LNC007485)". The record is from RNAcentral. Lineage: Eukaryota; Viridiplantae; Streptophyta; Magnoliopsida; Malpighiales; Linaceae.
AAAUAUGUUUGCCUGGGGGAUAUGAACAGAAAAUGACUCCACACUAAAACUGAACCGAAUGGAGCAGUUGGAACCGAGUGACUGUUUUCCUUUCUGUCGUCGGUGAGAGGCAAUGGCAGAAGCAGCUUUGUAUCCUAGGAGAGCAGUCUGCAAACUAAAGUCGCAUUCUUCGUAGUUUUUCUUCCCACCCACCCUUUUCCGGUUUUGCAUUUCCAUGUUUCUGUUAACUUGGUGGGAUUGGACGACAAAAAAGGAGUUCAAAGGCGUUGGCUUGUGUAAUGUAUGAAAUAAAUGGGGACUGAGUGGGAGACCUCCAAGUUCCGAGUCAUGUAAUAACUGACUGGUAUUAGGCUUUGCCGUUGCUAGAGAAGAGGCAUAAUGGUUGAGAGACUUCGUCGAUAAGAUACAUAUAUGAUCCAAACUAUUCACUUAUUUCUACUUUAUCCUUUGUCAUAGCAAUGCAAAGUUCUAGGGAUGCAACUGAAUUCAAAUUAGAUAUUUUCAGGUCAUUAACAUAUAACUCUUAUCAACUGAGAUGAUUAAAAUAACUACUAUUUAUGUAGCACUAAAAAUAAUGAAAUGCAUUGUGAAUAAUUGAAUGUUUUUAAAGUUUAAAAUGUAAAUUUCUCAUUUGUUUGAUAUUCUUUUGAAUUGUUUAUGAUAUUCUUUUGGAAUAGAUUAAUCAAUGACUGAAUGGUGGAUUUGUUUAUUGAUAAAAGAAUCAAUGAUGUUUUGGAUUAAAUAUUGGGUCUACUGUGAGGUUUUUUUGUGUGUGGCAAAACUAAGGCCCAACGGCUUCACUUGGCUGGCCUGGAAAAUAACACAAAUAAAAUGCAGAAAUAGGCAGACACCCGAAUUCAUCGAGUCAUGGAGCUGGAGAAUUAUUUAUUAUAGGCAAAAACGUCCAAUAUGUCACAAACUAUUAUUCAACUCCCAAAAUAUACAUGGACUAUCCGUAAUUGUACACGCGUCUUGAAUUAUUUUUUUCAACAAACUUCGAUGUCACGCCGUCUUCAACUGUUAGUUUUCCGUUUACCAUCCGCUAAAUAGCUCGUGACAUAUCGAGGGUUUUUUCCUAGGUAUAGAAAAAAAAAGUAAGUAAAGAAUAAAUGGUUGGAGUAGACAUGAGAAAAAGAUAAGGCUUCUACGGCCCCCUCCAAUUUCACCCUUCCUUCCUAAGGCCAAAGGAAUAUAUGUUCAUUCUUAGGCGGGCGAAUAUAUUCAUUUCCGGGAAAGGUGCUUGGUAUUCAAGCUAACAUCUAACGUGGCUUCUUUAUUUUUUGUUUUUAUUUCUUUAUGACAAAAGAAUUACAGGGAAAGAAAGAAAGAACCUAGCUAAGGGGCGCAUUGCCCCGCUUUUCCCUUUUGCUCUGAUCUUGUUCUCAAGGCCAAUAAGCUAAGAGUUAAACCACUACUUUUGCUAAUUAAUUAAUUAUAUUGCAUCUAUAUUUGUUUAUUGUAAUACAGUUAAUCCUCUCCCCCCUUUCCUUCAUCGAAUAUCAGCAAAUAUCCAAAAUGAAACUUGGUAAUUGAGAAGUUCCUAAAUAUAUAUAAAGCAAUUCAUAAGGGAAAGGUAGAGGCAUGCAUGGCAAGUUGGCAACUAUCUACCCCUGGAUGCUACUACAGUUUAAUAUAAAAGUUGAUAACAAACUGUAAAUUGUAAUAUUGAUAUGUCGGAUGGGAUAUUAAUUGACGUGAAAAUCAGUGCUGUCCAUCUCCAAUCAGCUAGCUUUCGGAAUUGGAACCCAUGCAGAUAUGCGGGACUUCCAGUGGGGACAUAGAAGGUAAUGAUCAUCCUUUUGAAUAAAAAUAAGGAACCAACCAACCCCAUCUCUUAGGGAUCCGAUGAUGAAAUAUAGGCAACGAAACAAAAAAGAUUUGGUCAAAAAAAUAUCAAAUGUUGAUUGAUGAUGAGCCCAAAGUGCAUGUUAUAACGAGGAGGACGCAUCAUUGCUAACUUUCCAAUAUAUAUGUUAAGAUUAUUAAUGUAUCAAUAAAUGUGGGAGCUCAAAGCUGGGAGUUAAAUUAAAUUAAUAAACCAAUCUGGGGAGCUGGGAGAGGAAUCUAUACUUUGAUUGUCAAUGAAGAAAGCAUCAAUUCCCUUCUGGCUUCUCCCCUGCCCACUUUGCUAUAUUUUUUACCACCCAAAAAUAUCAACUAAUUAAUUAUACCAACCUCCUCUUCAGUUACUUUGUUAUUUUAAACAAGAAUUUCCACAAGUAUAUAUGUCACCUAUAAAACAUAAAUGUAUUAAUCAAAUAAUGUUCAGAGGCAAUACAAGUUUACCAAUCCAUAAAGCCGACUAAUCAUCAGUUCGCAUGCAGUUACAUUGUCUGACUAAUUAAUUAAAAGAUAGGCAAUUAUAUAUGAGUUGGGGUGGAAUAGUUUUUAAUUUAUGGAAGGGACUAAUAUAUAUAAUACACUAAAUGAACUAGUUCAACCUUCUAAUUUGCGAGUUUUGGUAAAGCUAGCUAGCCCAUCCUUUACGCGUUUACACUCCACAAGCCAAAGCUUUAAAUUAAAAUUUUACACAAAUAAAGAUGGAGGUUAUAUAUUGAUCGGGUGCAUAAUAGCAAAUUUAAUUAAAUUUAAUGUUUUUUUCUUUUUGGGUGAUGUGAUGUUGUGGUAGGGCUUUAAAAUGGUGAACAGAAUGACGUCAUGGUUGCGGCCAUAAAGUAGCAUGCAUGUAGACGUAGAGGAGGAUAUUACUAUUUUACAACAAUAUAUAUUUUGGGUUGGGUGUGGUAAGAAAAUAGAAGGAGAUUUUUUAUUUUUUUGAGGAUUACAUAAAAGAGUUCCAAAGAGAGAUAUAUGUUAUGGGUAACCGCUAGCUAUACAAUAAAGGUGGGGAUGGGGGCAUGCAGAUGGUCAUAGAUAGGAGGAGAGGACACACAGAAGACAAUCUUCAGUUCCACAAAAGGAUAAAACAAAAAGACCUCUCUACUCUAUUCCCCACCCCCCCGUCGAUCAACAACAUCACGGAAUCACGAUGCCAAUCAUUAUUUGGAGCUAGCUAGGUUGCAUGGUAAUUCUUGUUACCAAGGAUAAUUUCUAGGAUUCUAAGUGAUCAUCAUGAUGCCAUGGUUUCAUUGGCUUUUCCCUAAAAAUCUCAAAACAUGUAUAUGUUAAAUAUUAUUUAUCACAAAAUCACUAAAACUGGUAAUUAUGUUUGUUCCUAAAAUGCAUUUCUAAAAUGUAAAUUGAAACCAUUGAUAAUUUUUUGUAUGCUUUGAAUUAUUUAUAUGAUUAAAUUUUUCGAUAGUACUUAUGACGUCCGACUGAAUCAAACAGAUAUAACAUAACAAUACCAAAUUUUAUUUAAAAAUAUAUUAAAUUGGACUCAUAAAAUCUCAAAAUAUAUAUACCCGAAUUUAACACUCAUAACUGAAAGUGAGAUCGAUGAGCCGGUGUUGGCUUCCCUAUCUCCGGCCCAGCUGUGAAAAAGGCGAGGAAAGGAGCUGCAGAUGCUCGACCAACUUUGUGCAGGUCUACCAAGUAAAUGUAGGCGUAACAACAAACAAAAGAUCAUCAUGGAAAAUUGUACUCACUCAUCACUACUCUCUAUGUAGUUUCCCUUUUCUUUCAUUUCUGGGUUGCUAUUCCUUUAUCUUUAUUUUCCUUUUCCUUUUGUUUUGUUCCUUUAACAAAUAUUUAAUUUACGAGUUAUAAAUAAUUGUUUUAAGGAAACUCGUAACAAUUGUUAAACUGGUUGAAUUUUUUCUUUAGAAAUGGUAUAAUUAGACGCCAAGAUUAUGAAUUUUCUUUACUGCUGUUGUUUAAAUAUGAAUUCAUGAUUAUUUUGGUUCCAUCUAUUUUUUUUUAUUUGAAUGGAUCCUGGUAGACUAAUUAAGCAAAUAUGCUCACAGUCAAUAUUUCCGUAUAGUAACAAUGUUUAUGUGAGUGAUCAAAUUUGAGUCAUAAUUCUCUACAAAAACAAAAA